Molecule: ribosomal RNA, 791 nt
Filed under: Microbacterium sp. AO11a
Lineage: Bacteria; Bacillati; Actinomycetota; Actinomycetes; Micrococcales; Microbacteriaceae
Description: bacterial SSU rRNA
Rfam family: Bacterial small subunit ribosomal RNA
Source: RNAcentral
AGCUUGCUCUGCUGGAUCAGUGGCGAACGGGUGAGUAACACGUGAGCAAUCUGCCCCUGACUCUGGGAUAAGCGCUGGAAACGGCGUCUAAUACCGGAUACGAGCUGCGAAGGCAUCUUCAGCAGCUGGAAAGAACUUCGGUCAGGGAUGAGCUCGCGGCCUAUCAGCUUGUUGGUGAGGUAACGGCUCACCAAGGCGUCGACGGGUAGCCGGCCUGAGAGGGUGACCGGCCACACUGGGACUGAGACACGGCCCAGACUCCUACGGGAGGCAGCAGUGGGGAAUAUUGCACAAUGGGCGCAAGCCUGAUGCAGCAACGCCGCGUGAGGGACGACGGCCUUCGGGUUGUAAACCUCUUUUAGCAGGGAAGAAGCGAAAGUGACGGUACCUGCAGAAAAAGCGCCGGCUAACUACGUGCCAGCAGCCGCGGUAAUACGUAGGGCGCAAGCGUUAUCCGGAAUUAUUGGGCGUAAAGAGCUCGUAGGCGGUCUGUCGCGUCUGCUGUGAAAACCCGAGGCUCAACCUCGGGCCUGCAGUGGGUACGGGCAGACUAGAGUGCGGUAGGGGAGAUUGGAAUUCCUGGUGUAGCGGUGGAAUGCGCAGAUAUCAGGAGGAACACCGAUGGCGAAGGCAGAUCUCUGGGCCGUAACUGACGCUGAGGAGCGAAAGGGUGGGGAGCAAACAGGCUUAGAUACCCUGGUAGUCCACCCCGUAAACGUUGGGAACUAGUUGUGGGGACCAUUCCACGGUUUCCGUGACGCAGCUAACGCAUUAAGUUCCCCGCCUGGGGA